UUGUUUUCUUGCAAGGUCAUAAUGGAUUGGGAUAUUCAUGUGCUUCGGGUUAAGGAACAGUAAAUCUCAGGAGAAGUACCCUAAUUUAUAUCCAGAAGGGAACAAUGACUUAGGAAAAUCGGCUGUUUUGGUUGAUGAUGUGAUUCGAAAUGAAGUGGCCUAAGAUGAUGUAAUUUUGUGAAUGAAACAACAUUCUCUUUGAGCCCCACGAGGGGAAAGGCAAUUUUCCUAGUUAUAAACAAUUUUACUGAAUAUAGAAUAUCAGUUUCCUGUGAUCUACAACUUUACUGAAUCAAGGACUAGAAUAAGCCCCCAAUAGGUUGGAAGUUUCUAAUUCUGGUAGGAUACAUCAUGUAUUGCAUUUGGUAACUAGAUGACUUUUGCAAGAUGUUCAUAAAACUGAAGAAUUCCUUGUGGUCCGAUCCCAGUUUAUGUUAUUGUGAGAUAUUUGGUUUGCUGAUUAUAUUAAGAAGGAAAUCAGCAACUGCACUGAUGCAUUAUCGAGUUUCCUAAAUAGUCAAUUUUCUCCAUGAACAUAUUCGAAGGCUUUCUAUCUUAGGUGGAAGGGAGUUUCUGACUUCGUGAUUGCUGCUUGUAUAUAGCAUUAUGGAAUAGC
RNAcentral lists this long non-coding RNA (616 nucleotides) under Olea europaea subsp. europaea. The record is from RNAcentral. Lineage: Eukaryota; Viridiplantae; Streptophyta; Magnoliopsida; Lamiales; Oleaceae.